Molecule: ribosomal RNA, 291 nt
Filed under: uncultured archaeon
Lineage: Archaea
Description: partial 16S ribosomal RNA
Rfam family: Archaeal small subunit ribosomal RNA
Source: RNAcentral
GCGAGAAACCUUCACACUGUGCGAAAGCGCGAUGAGGGAAUCCCAAGUGCUUGCACGUAAGUGUAAGCUGUUUCUAUGUCUAAAAAGCAUAGAGAGUAAGAGCUGGGUAAGACGGGUGCCAGCCGCCGCGGUAAUACCUGCAGCUCAAGUGGUGACCACUAUUAUUGGGCCUAAAACGUCCGUAGCCGGUUUAGUAAAUGCCUGGGUAAAUCGAGCCGCUUAACGGUUCGACUUCCGGGUAGACUGCUAAACUUGGGACCGGGAGAGGCUAGAGGUACUCCUGGGGUAGAG